This 655-nucleotide long non-coding RNA is filed under the name Cyanistes caeruleus (blue tit). Its description in RNAcentral is "lncRNA (ENSCCEG00000004671.1)". Lineage: Eukaryota; Metazoa; Chordata; Aves; Passeriformes; Paridae. The record is from RNAcentral.
CCCCACCCUGCCCACCUCCCUGUUUCAGCCCAGCCUGGGCUCAUUGACUUGGGUUUUGGUGGUGGUGUAACAGUGCUGCUCUCUUGCUCCCUCCAGCCCUCCUUGGUUGUGGGCUCAUGUCCUGGGUUGUCCCUGUGCCCAGGGGGGUGACAGAGAGGUGUGGGGCUGUCUCCUGCCUGCCCUGCUCAGGUCCUGGCUGGUGAGGUCCCUCCCAGCACUCCAAGAUUAUAUUAUCCCUAGGUUAUUAUAGGUAGAUUUUACUGAGGGAGAAAUGUCACACUCAUCUCGGUUCCCUUUACCUCUCUCCUCCAGUGCAAAGAUGUACUGCAGAGACUCUCCAUGGAAGCCUUUCAGACCAGAGAGGAUAAAAUGCCUUGGAAAGACUUUAUUUAAAGUGUGUACUGGUGCACUGCAGAGCUUGUUCUGUAUUAAAUUCCAAGGAUGAAUUCUCUUGUGAGUAGUUUGCUAUGACUUGACUGAUUUUUAAAGACGAUUGUCUGGAGUUUGUUUUUGUUUGGUUUUUUUGGGUUGAGGCUUUUCUCAAGCUCAGGGAAGGCAGGGAUGUGAUCAUGUGGAAAGGCAGUUCUGCUUCUCCUCCUCCCUGCAUGGAAAAGCAUGCCAUGUUUCCAGUCUACUGUGACCUCUGGCAAAUAAG